ACUAGUAUGAACGGCUAAAUGAGGACUAAACUGUCUCUUAUAGGCUGACCAAUGAAAUUGAUCUCCCAGUACAAAAGCUGGGAUAAAACCAUAAGACGAGAAGACCCUGUGGAGCUUCAAACCAAACACACCUAGUAUGUCCUUUAGGUUUUUAGUUGGGGCGACUUCGGAGAAAAAGAAAACCUCCAAAAAGUGAUUAUCCACAUUAUUUAGACCCACACAUCAAAACAACAACACAAACCCAGCAACUCACCCAACGUUGUCUGAUCAAUGAACCAAGUUACCCCAGGGAUAACAGCGCCAUCCCCUUCUAGAGUCCAUAUCGACAAGGGGGUUUACGACCUCGAUGUUGGAUCAGGACACCCCAAUGGUGCAGCCGCCAUUAAAG
Molecule: ribosomal RNA, 388 nt
Filed under: Algyroides moreoticus
Lineage: Eukaryota; Metazoa; Chordata; Lepidosauria; Squamata; Lacertidae
Description: partial 16S ribosomal RNA
Rfam family: Bacterial large subunit ribosomal RNA
Source: RNAcentral